Molecule: ribosomal RNA, 254 nt
Filed under: uncultured bacterium
Lineage: Bacteria
Description: partial 16S ribosomal RNA
Rfam family: Bacterial small subunit ribosomal RNA
Source: RNAcentral
UACGGAGGGUGCGAGCGUUGUCCGGAAUCACUGGGCGUAAAGGGCGCGUAGGUGGCGCGAGGAGUCUGUGGUGAAAGCCCGAGGCUCAACUUCGGGUCGGCCGCGGAUACUCUCGUGCUGGAGGGUGGUAGAGGCCAAUGGAAUUCCGGGUGUAGCGGUGGAAUGCGUAGAGAUCCGGAAGAACACCGGUGGCGAAGGCGGUUGGCUGGGCCACACCUGGACACUGAGGCGCGACAGCGUGGGGAGCAAACAGG